CUACGUGCCAGCAGCCGCGGUAAUACGGAAGGUCCGGGCGUUAUCCGGAUUUAUUGGGUUUAAAGGGAGCGUAGGCCAGAGAUUAAGUGUGUUGUGAAAUGUAGACGCUCAACGUCUGACUUGCAGCGCAUACUGGUUUCCUUGAGUACGCACAACGUUGGCGGAAUUCGUCGUGUAGCGGUGAAAUGCUUAGAUAUGACGAAGAACUCCGAUUGCGAAGGCAGCUGACGGGAGCGCAACUGACGCUUAAGCUCGAAGGUGCGGGUAUCGAACAGGAUUAGAUACCCUGGUAGUCCGCACAGUAAACGAUGGAUGCCCGCUGUUGGUACCUGGUAUCAGCGGCUAAGCGAAAGCAUUAAGCAUCCCACCUGGGGAGUACGCCGGCAACGGUGAAACUCAAAGGAAUUGACGGGGGCCCGCACAAGCGGAGGAACAUGUGGUUUAAUUCGAUGAUACGCGAGGAACCUUACCCGGGCUUGAA
RNAcentral lists this ribosomal RNA (481 nucleotides) under uncultured bacterium. RNAcentral describes it as "bacterial SSU rRNA". It matches the Rfam family "Bacterial small subunit ribosomal RNA", at positions 501 to 985 of the family's 1533-position model. The record is from RNAcentral.